CCCCAAAGUAUCCAGAUGGUGAAAUUGUUCGCCAUUUGAAUGGAGAGAGAGACUUCCGGUGGAAUUCCUCUUUAUACCUGCGUCGGUAGUUUUUGCCCUCGAUUUUGCUCAAUCGGUGUACGUCUGGUGCGAAACAUUGCCUCUUGAUUAAUAGUUUUCAAUGGUAGCUAUGAGUUCUAGUAUGAGCUAAGGUCGUGAGAAUCAUUGAAAUUAGACGAGCUCGAGCACGAAGUCAUUUGUCUGCUCGAAUUAAAUAUUUACGGUCCUCAGCUAUCCGGCAGUGAGAAGCACCUCAAAGAUUUCUCACGGCAAGGCAGACCCACUGCGAUCGUUGGCCUCCAAGGCCUCUGCGGUUUAUAUGAAUAUUCAGCUCAUCCACACCCUUCAAUGAGAACGUAUUCGUUGAGUCCAUACGAUUUUGAAUUUUUCUUUGUGAUCCUACCUGGUCCUCAGCUAUUACGCGGUGGGACUCACCGAGAUUAUUGAACAUCAUGUGCGUGAUUUGGCCUCUGUUGUGUAUCCAGUUAAGAGUGUGAAACAACCAUGCUUCAGUGGCUUCCAUCAUGCUUGUUACUGAAAUUGCGUACAACCUUAUAAGUGAAAGUAAUAGGAUGCUUAUUUUGGCAUUAAUGAUUUGCCAUAGUUCCUUUCCUUCGCCACCCCCAACCUGUGUUCGUAUGUGAAAUGAAUGCAGCCAUUGUUUUAAUUUUUUUUCCCCCGAUCAGUCUGGUGAAGAUUGAUUCAUUGUAUGCUUAUAACUCUCCUCAUGGGAAGAUUCCAAUUGGUAAGCUUCUUUGCAACAGAGUCCUUUUUGCCUCAUUUG
Long non-coding RNA from Juglans regia (Persian walnut), 823 nucleotides. RefSeq lists it as uncharacterized. The record is from RefSeq and is a predicted model, not a curated record. The transcript is spliced from 3 exons. NCBI's taxonomy places the organism in Eukaryota, Viridiplantae, Streptophyta, Magnoliopsida, Fagales, Juglandaceae.